This 526-nucleotide ribosomal RNA is filed under the name Bifidobacterium bifidum. RNAcentral's name for it is "bacterial SSU rRNA". It matches the Rfam family "Bacterial small subunit ribosomal RNA", at positions 165 to 703 of the family's 1533-position model. The record is from RNAcentral. Lineage: Bacteria; Bacillati; Actinomycetota; Actinomycetes; Bifidobacteriales; Bifidobacteriaceae.
AAUGCCGGAUGUUCCACAUGAUCGCAUGUGAUUGUGGGAAAGAUUCUAUCGGCGUGGGAUGGGGUCGCGUCCUAUCAGCUUGUUGGUGAGGUAACGGCUCACCAAGGCUUCGACGGGUAGCCGGCCUGAGAGGGCGACCGGCCACAUUGGGACUGAGAUACGGCCCAGACUCCUACGGGAGGCAGCAGUGGGGAAUAUUGCACAAUGGGCGCAAGCCUGAUGCAGCGACGCCGCGUGAGGGAUGGAGGCCUUCGGGUUGUAAACCUCUUUUGUUUGGGAGCAAGCCUUCGGGUGAGUGUACCUUUCGAAUAAGCGCCGGCUAACUACGUGCCAGCAGCCGCGGUAAUACGUAGGGCGCAAGCGUUAUCCGGAUUUAUUGGGCGUAAAGGGCUCGUAGGCGGCUCGUCGCGUCCGGUGUGAAAGUCCAUCGCUUAACGGUGGAUCUGCGCCGGGUACGGGCGGGCUGGAGUGCGGUAGGGGAGACUGGAAUUCCCGGUGUAACGGUGGAAUGUGUAGAUAUCGGGAA